GAACCGGAAGAUGGUGUGAGCCACGGGCUGCCGGGGGCCUGGGGCUCGGCGUCGGUCCCCGGGGGAUGUGGAGAGCUGGCAGCAUGUCGGCCGAGCUGGGAGUCGGGUGCGCAUUGCGGGCGGUGAACGAGCGCGUGCAGCAGGCUGUGGCGCGGCGGCCGCGGGAUCUCCCAGCCAUCCAGCCCCGGCUAGUGGCGGUCAGCAAAACCAAACCUGCAGACAUGGUGAUCGAGGCCUAUGGAUAUGGGCAGCGCACUUUUGGCGAGAACUACGUAAGAGCCCUUUUCUGAAGCCCUUUGGAAGCAUCAUGAUUGCCAGGCUUCUGACUUGUUCUGUUUUGACCUUUUAGGUUCAGGAACUGCUAGAAAAAGCAUCAAAUCCCAAAAUUCUGUCUUUGUGUCCUGAGAUCAAAUGGCACUUCAUUGGCCACCUACAGAAACAAAAUGUCAACAAAUUGAUGGGUAAGAUAAAAUUAAAUAUGAAAACAAAAUUGUUCUGUCAUUGUAUUGCUUCUACUACCCUUUGUGGAAGAGAGAGCAACUUUUAGAAUAGCCCCAAUUCACCAUUUGUUUUUGGAAUUUCUUUAGGAAAGUCUGAGUUCUUAAUAAAAAGAGAAAACAUCAUGCCAAGAACAGAAUGAAUUCACCAUUUUCUGGGUUAUAUAUACUUGGAAACCUACCCAACCUCAUGUUUAUUAUUAUUUGGUGGUCUUUCAGAAAAAUUAUAAAGAAUUGUAGCCCAUAAAUUUUUUUAACUAGCAAAAGAGACAUUUCUGUUCUUUUUCCUUUAAAUAAAAGCUACAGUAAAUAAAAUACAAUACAGUAAAGUAAGUAUAGUAAAGUAAAA
This 846-nucleotide small RNA is filed under the name Pan troglodytes (chimpanzee). RNAcentral's name for it is "retained intron". The record is from RNAcentral. Lineage: Eukaryota; Metazoa; Chordata; Mammalia; Primates; Hominidae.